This 500-nucleotide ribosomal RNA is filed under the name uncultured bacterium. Its description in RNAcentral is "partial 16S ribosomal RNA". It matches the Rfam family "Bacterial small subunit ribosomal RNA", at positions 30 to 523 of the family's 1533-position model. The record is from RNAcentral.
AUUGAACGCUGGCGGCAUGCCUUACACAUGCAAGUCGAACGGCAGCACGGGAGCAAUCCUGGUGGCGAGUGGCGAACGGGUGAGUAAUGUAUCGGAACGUGCCCAGUCGUGGGGGAUAACGCAGCGAAAGCUGUGCUAAUAACGCAUACGAUCUAAGGAUGAAAGCGGGGGAUCGCAAGACCUCGCGCGAUUGGAGUGGCCGAUAUCAGAUUAGCUAGUUGGUGGGGUAAAGGCUCACCAAGGCGACGAUCUGUAGCUGGUCUGAGAGGACGACCAGCCACACUGGAACUGAGACACGGUCCAGACUCCUACGGGAGGCAGCAGUGGGGAAUUUUGGACAAUGGGCGCAAGCCUGAUCCAGCAAUGCCGCGUGCAGGAUGAAGGCCUUCGGGUUGUAAACUGCUUUUGUACGGAGCGAAAAGGCUCUCUCUAAUACGGGGGGCUCAUGACGGUACCGUAAGAAUAAGCACCGGCUAACUACGUGCCAGCAGCCGCGGUAA